CCAUUUGGAGCUAGCCGUCGAAGGUGGGACAAAUGAUUGGGGUGAAGUCGUAACAAGGUAGCCGUAUCGGAAGGUGCGGCUGGAUCACCUCCUUU
Molecule: ribosomal RNA, 95 nt
Filed under: Staphylococcus epidermidis
Lineage: Bacteria; Bacillati; Bacillota; Bacilli; Caryophanales; Staphylococcaceae
Also listed under: 1 other name
Description: partial 16S ribosomal RNA
Rfam family: Bacterial small subunit ribosomal RNA
Source: RNAcentral